This 889-nucleotide ribosomal RNA is filed under the name uncultured Bacillota bacterium. Its description in RNAcentral is "bacterial SSU rRNA". It matches the Rfam family "Bacterial small subunit ribosomal RNA", at positions 63 to 956 of the family's 1533-position model. The record is from RNAcentral. Lineage: Bacteria; Bacillati; Bacillota.
CGAGCGAGGCCAGGUAGCAAUACCUGAGUCGAGCGGCAGACGGGUGAGUAACACGUGGGUGACCUACCUCGAGGUGGGGGAUAACCCGGGGAAACUCGGGCUAAUACCGCAUAACAUCGUGAGAUCAAAGCGGCCCGCAAGGGUCGCGCCGUGAGAGGGGCCCGCGUCUGAUUAGCUAGUUGGUGAGGUAACGGCUCACCAAGGCGACGAUCAGUAGCCGGCCUGAGAGGGCGAUCGGCCACACUGGAACUGAGACACGGUCCAGACUCCUACGGGAGGCAGCAGUGGGGAAUUUUGCGCAAUGGGGGAAACCCUGACGCAGCAACGCCGCGUGGAGGAUGAAGGUCCUUGGAUUGUAAACUCCUGUCAGCAGGGAAGAACUCCUUACGGUGAAUAACCGUAAGGAUUGACGGUACCUGCAGAGGAAGCCCCGGCUAACUCUGUGCCAGCAGCCGCGGUAAUACAGAGGGGGCAAGCGUUAUUCGGAAUUAUUGGGCGUAAAGGGCGCGUAGGCGGCUUCGCAAGUGGUGGGUGAAAUCCCUCGGCUUAACCGAGGAACUGCCCUCCAAACUGCGUUGCUGGAGUCCAGGAGAGGUGAGUGGAAUUCCCAGUGUAGCGGUGAAAUGCGUACAUAUUGGGAGGAACACCAGUGGCUAAUGCGGCUCACUGGACCGGAACUGACGCUGAGACGCGAAACCCUGUGGAGCAAACAGGAUUACAUACCCCGGUAGUCCACGCCGUAUACGAUGAGUGCUUGGUGUAUCGGGUAUCGACUCCUGCUGUGCCGAAGUCGUCACAUUAAGCACUCCGCCUGGGGAGUACGGUCACACGGCUGAUACUCAAAUGAAUUGACUCGACAUGGACGAAUUCGCGGCCGCUAAAUUCAAUU